Molecule: ribosomal RNA, 271 nt
Filed under: uncultured bacterium
Lineage: Bacteria
Description: partial 16S ribosomal RNA
Rfam family: Bacterial small subunit ribosomal RNA
Source: RNAcentral
CCGGGCCUACGGGGGGCAGCAGUGGGGAAUAUUGGGCAAUGGGCGCAAGCCUGACCCAGCAACGCCGCGUGAAGGAAGAAGGCUUUCGGGUUGUAAACUUCUUUUAUCAGGGACGAAGCAAGUGACGGUACCUGAUGAAUAAGCCACGGCUAACUACGUGCCAGCAGCCGCGGUAAUACGUAGGUGGCAAGCGUUAUCCGGAUUUACUGGGUGUAAAGGGCGUGACGGCGGGAGUGCAAGUCAGAGUUGAAAACUAUGGGUGCAACCACUA